RNAcentral lists this ribosomal RNA (497 nucleotides) under uncultured bacterium. RNAcentral describes it as "partial 16S ribosomal RNA". It matches the Rfam family "Bacterial small subunit ribosomal RNA", at positions 28 to 507 of the family's 1533-position model. The record is from RNAcentral.
GAUGAACGCUGGCGGCGUGCCUAAUACAUGCAAGUCGAGCGAACGGACGAGAAGCUUGCUUCUCUGAUGUUAGCGGCGGACGGGUGAGUAACACGUGGAUAACCUACCUAUAAGACUGGGAUAACUUCGGGAAACCGGAGCUAAUACCGGAUAAUAUUUUGAACCGCAUGGUUCAAAAGUGAAAGACGGUCUUGCUGUCACUUAUAGAUGGAUCCGCGCUGCAUUAGCUAGUUGGUAAGGUAACGGCUUACCAAGGCAACGAUGCAUAGCCGACCUGAGAGGGUGAUCGGCCAAACUGGAACUGAGACACGGUCCGGACUCCUACGGGAGGCAGCAGUAGGGAAUCUUCCGCAAUGGGCGAAAGCCUGACGGAGCAACGCCGCGUGAGUGAUGAAGGUCUUCGGAUCGUAAAACUCUGUUAUUAGGGAAGAACAUAUGUGUAAGUAACUGUGCACAUCUUGACGGUACCUAAUCAGAAAGCCACGGCUAACUACGUG